AACGAACGUUGGCGGCGUGGAUUAGGCAUGCAAGUCGAACGGGGUUGGAGCAAUCCAACCUAGUGGCGAACGGGUGAGUAGCGCGUGGGAAACCUGCCCUUGAGACGGGGAUAACACUUCCAACGAGGUGCUAAUACCGGAUAAGACCCCAGGGUCGCAUGGCCCGGUGGUUAAAUGAUGGCCUCUGCUUGCAAGCUAUCGCUCGAGGAUGGUCCCGCGUCCCAUUAGCUUGUUGGUGAGGUAACGGCUCACCAAGGCUUCGAUGGGUAGCUGGUCUGAGAGGAUGGUCAGCCACACUGGGACUGAGAUACGGCCCAGACUCCUACGGGAGGCUG
RNAcentral lists this ribosomal RNA (335 nucleotides) under uncultured Latescibacterota bacterium. RNAcentral describes it as "bacterial SSU rRNA". It matches the Rfam family "Bacterial small subunit ribosomal RNA", at positions 29 to 351 of the family's 1533-position model. The record is from RNAcentral. Lineage: Bacteria; Pseudomonadati; Candidatus Latescibacterota.